RNAcentral lists this ribosomal RNA (253 nucleotides) under uncultured bacterium. RNAcentral describes it as "partial 16S ribosomal RNA". It matches the Rfam family "Bacterial small subunit ribosomal RNA", at positions 524 to 776 of the family's 1533-position model. The record is from RNAcentral.
UACAGAGGUCCCAAGCGUUGUUCGGAUUCACUGGGCGUAAAGGGUGCGUAGGUGGUUGGGUAAGUCUGAUGUGAAAUCCCGCAGCUUAACUGCGGAAUGGCAUUGGAUACUAUUCGGCUAGAGGGUUGGAGGGGGGACUGGAAUUCUCGGUGUAGCAGUGAAAUGCGUAGAUAUCGAGAGGAACACCAGUGGCGAAGGCGAGUCCCUGGACAACUCCUGACGCUGAGGCACGAAAGCUAGGGGAGCAAACAGG